UUCCUAAGAAUCAGUGACUGAGAUUAGUUUCUAUUUACAAGGGAACUCCUAGUAAUAAAGUAAGUUUUUUGUCCUUAAUCUUAGGAAUUCCAACACUCCCCCUCAAGCUAGAGUGUAGAUGUUUAUCAAACCCAGCUUGCCAAUAAGUUCUUCAAACAUGUUUCUGUUCAAACUUUUAGUUAAUACGUCUGCAACUUGUUGUCUAGUAGGUAGGUAGGUGAUGCACACUUCUCCUGAGUGUAUUUUUUCUUUUAUAAAGUGGCGAUUUAUUUCCACAUGUUUGGUGCGAUCAUGAUGCACAGGAUUAUGUGCUAUGCUGACAGCUGCCUGGUUGUCACAGUACAUCUUCAUAGGCCUGGUGUAAGGCACUUUUAGUUCCCCCAUAAGUCUUCGUAUCCAAACUCCUUCGCAUAUACCAUGAGAUAGUGCUCGAUACUCUGCCUCUGCACUGCUGCGUGCUACAACAGACUGUUUUUUGCUUCUCCACGUCAUGAGGUUACCCCAAACAUAACUACAAUAGCCACUUGUAGAGCGUCUAUCGUUAACAGAACCUGCCCAGUCUGCAUCAGUGUAGACUUCCACAUUCUAGUUGGCAGUUUUCUUGAAAUGCAGGCCUUUAUCGGGAGUCCCUUUUAGAUACCUUAAUAUUCUAUAUGCAGCUUCCAGGUGCUUCUCCCUCGGGGCAUGCAUGUACUGACUGAUAACACUUACACCGAAGGCUAUGUUUGGACGGGUGUGAGAUAGGUAGAUGAGUCUUCCUACUAGUCGUUGAUAUCUCCCCCUGUCAAUUUCUUCUCCAUCCUCAUCAAUUCCCAAUUGUGAAAUUCCAUAGGAGUUUCGGCUGGUUUGCAGCCCAUCAAACCAACUUCUGACAAUAGAUCAAGCACAUAUUUCCUUUGGGAGAUGGAAAUACCUGUUUGGGACCUUGCUACCUCCAUACCAAGAAAGUAUUUAAGAUUCCCCAAGUCUUUAAGCUCGAGCUCUGUACCAAGAAAUUCUUUCAACCUCACAAUUUCGCUUGAGUCAUCUCCUGUUAAUAUUAUAUCGUCCACAUAAACGAUGAGGAUGCAGCAUUUUCCCUUUUCCGAGUGCUUGUAGAACAUGGUGUGGUCUGCCUGCCCUUGAAUGUAAUUUCUGCUGGUCAUAGCUUCUGCAAAUCGGCUGAACCACACCCGUGGAGAUUGUUUCAGCCCAUACAAGGACUUCUUCAACUUACACACUUGGCCCUUGCUUUCUUCAAACCCGAGUGAGAAAUUCAUGUACACUUCCUCACUUAAUUCUCCGUUGAGGAAAGCAUUUUUUACAUCCAAUUGAGUCAAGUGCCAAUCAAGGUUGGCAGCAAGAGAUAAGAGGACUCGAAUGGUGUUUAGCUUGGCAACCGGUGCAAACAUCUCGUCGUAGUCAAGACCAUAAGUUUGAGUAAAACCCUUAGCCACAAGUGGAGCCUUGUAUCGAUCAAUACGGCCAUCGGGUUUAAAUUUCAUAGUGAAGAUCCAUUUGCAUCCUACUGUUUUUUUUCCCUUAGGUAGAUCCGAGACUUCCCAUGUUUCAUUGUUUUUGAGGGCCUUCAUUUCUUCCAUCACAGCUUGUCUCCACUCAGCUGAUUCAAAAGCCUCUUCUAUAUUUUUUGGAGUUUUUACAGAAUCAAUAUUAGUCACAAAAGCUUUGUAAGACUUAGAUAAAUUUCCAUAGGAUACAAACCGAGAAAUAGGGUGUUGAGUGCAACUCCUUGUGCCCUUUCGAACUGCAAUUGGAAGAUAGAUAGAUGGUGACGGAGGUGAGACUUCUGUUUCAGAACAGUCCUCGGUUGGGGAUGCAAUUGGCACUGCUCUAUCAGUUUCAGGAGAACGAUUCCGUCGAGAGUAAACCUGUAUUUCGGGAACCUAUUUUUGUUGUUUUUCUUGAUCAGAGGGUUGUUGUACUUCGGUGGUAGUAUUGUUAUUGGGAAGGAUCGGGCUAAUUUCUUACUGUAUAGGGGAAAAAGUCUCUAAAUUUGGGAUUACCAUAGCACCUUGGUUGUUAGGCUUGUUUGUGAUAGUAGUUGUAGGAUCAUGAGGUAUAAUGAGGAGAGUAUUAAGGGUCUCAUCUUCAUUAAAAGUCUCCCCCUGAAGAUGAGAUGCUGCAAAGUAUGGUUCAUUUUCAAAGAAGGUAACAUCCCGAGAGACAAACAUUCGGCGCAAGGUUGGUGAGUAACACUUAUAGCCUUUUUGUGUGGGAGAAUAUCCAAUGAAGAUGCAGGUGUAGGCUCGAUGAUCAAGUUUGGGUUGAUUUGGUUGAUGGUUAUGGACAAAAACUUUGCAACUGAAUAUUUUGGCUGGAAGAUUAGGAACACGAAAUAGAGGAAAGGACUUUAGAAGGGUAUUUAGAGGUGUUUGGAAAUUGAGGACCUUUGAUGGCAUUCGGUUUAUGAGAUAGCAGGCAGUGAGGACAGCCUCUCCCCACAAGUAUUUUGGAACAUUCAUGGUGAACAUUAUGGCUCGAGCUACAGCAAGAAGAUGUCGAUUUUUUCUCUCAGAGAUCCCGUUUUGUUGAGGAGUGUCAGGACAAGAGCUUUGGUGUAUAAUGCCUUGGUCAGAAAGGUAUGGGCUUAGGACAGAGUUAAAGUACUCUCCCAUUGUCAGUGUGGAGAGUAUGCAUGGUAGAGUUGAACUGGGUUCGAACCAUUGAGUGAAAAUUUUGGAAUAAUUUGGGUGUUUCAGAUUUUUCUUUGAGGAGAUAGACCCAACAAACCCUAGUGUAAUCAUCAAUGAAUGUUAUAAACCACCUAGCCCCUGUAAUAUUUUUCACUCGGCUAGCUCCCCAUAGAUCACUAUGGAUUAAUGAAAAUGGUUGGGACUGGAUAUAUGGUUUUAAUGGGUAUGGUAUACGGGUAUGUUUGGAUAAUUGACAAAUUUCACACUUCAAGGAAUUAGUACUUUUAUUUCGAAAUAACAGCGAAAGAUGUUUCUUCAAAUACAAAAAGUUUGAAUCAGGGAUUUAAAUAGCGGUCCGUUACCGAAAUAGCGGCCGUUAUAUAGCGGUAACGGCACCGUCCGAAACCGUUACUGCCGAAACCCGCUAUACCCGCAAUACACAAUAAGUAAUGUAAAAUUCACGACCGCGAUACCCGCAGUGACCGCAAUAGCGUCCGUUAUGUCCGCGACCGCGACAAACGCGACGCGACCGAAAACGCGACCGCGACCGCAAUUUAAAUCCCUGGUUUGAAUGCCCUAACUUACGGUGCCAUAACAUAAUCGUGUCCUCUUUUGAAGUGGAUAGAGCCAAUCCUCCUUGUGUGCUGUCUUUAUUCCAAACAUAUAGUCCAUCAUCAAAUUUAGCAGUGCCAAUCAUUCUCCCCGAUUUCUGUUCCUGUAUCACACAACCAAUUGCAGAAAAUUCAGCAAGAAGUUUUUCAUCCUUAGUAAGUUUACUAAUUGAAAGUAAAUUGCAGGACAAGUUUGGGACAUGUAGGACUUUAUCAAGAGAAAAAUUCUCUAUUAUUUGUACUUCUCCUACUCUAGCCACAGGUGAGUAAGAACCAUCAGCUAUGCGAAUUCGGAACUUGUCAUGACAAGGGGUGUAGGUGUGAAACAAAGUGGAGUUACCUGUCAUGUGAUCGGAGGCACCCGAAUCGAGUAUCCAAGAGGAUUGAUUAUUUAAUUCAAAGGCAAUAUUGAGGGCAGUACCUUGGGUGGCUAGAGAUCCAUGAGCAGUGGAAGUACCAAGUAUCUUAUGGAGAGUCUCAAGUUGGGUUUUGGUUAGGCGAACAUCGAGAACAUCAUCUGCAGCAGUGGAGGAUAACAGGGCAGUCUUAUUAUCCUUCGGUUUUUUUUCAAGAUAGCCAUGAAGUUUGAAGCACUUUUCCUUUGUAUGAUCAACACGGUUGCAGUGGUUACACCAUGGCCUGGUUGAUCCAGAAUCAUUUCCAGCACGUGGUUUUUGUGGCUGUGGACCUCUGGAGAUGAGGGCAGAGGUCUCAGUAGACCGAUUGCCAAGAGUUGUCACAUGUUUAGGUUCCUUUGAGUCUCCCAUCAUGACAAGAUGGCGCUUUUCUUCUCUUCGAACUUCUGCAAAUGCUUCACCGAUGGUUGGUAGAGGUGAUCUGCCCAGAAUUCGGCCACAGACCUCAUCUAACUCACGGUUCAGUCCUGCUAGAAACUCAUAAAGACGUUCAUUGUUGAGGUGAGUCAUAAACUUGGUGUGUUCCAAGCCUUCACCCCAAUCUGCCUCAUAGUACAUAUCCAGUUCCUGCCACAAAAUUUUCAGAUUGUUGUAGUUGUGAGUUACUUCAAGUGUCCCUUGUCGGAUAUCCUUUAACUUAAGCUUGAGCUCAAAUACUUGGGAGGCGUUUCCAAGAUCCGAGUAGUUUUCUUUGACUGCAUCCCACGUGUCUUUUGCAGUUUGAAAAAGAGAUAGGUGCGGCUUAUAUGGCCUUCCAUCGAAUUAAUUAGCCAAGCCAUUACAAUUGAGUUGUUGAGUUCCCAAGUGGCAUAAGUCGGGUCAGCUAUGGUUGGUCGUGGAAUUUCUCCAUUGAUGUAUCUUAAUUUGCCACGACCACGAAUCACCAUAAGGACCGAUUGGGACCAUUGCAAGAAGUUCUUCCCAUCUAACCGAUGAUUGGUGAUUAUAAGAGAGGAAUUAAGUUCACCUUGAGUGAUUCCCUGAUUGACAUUCUGAGUUAUUUGUGAAGUCUCAGUUUCAGACAGAGUUUCAUUGAAGUCACCCAUGGGAGGAGGACAAAACCGGGGGGAUUUUUAGGGAGGGAGAUUAAAGACGAAUGAGCAGGAUCGAAUGAAUCCUAAAGCUCUGAUACCAUGAAGAAACUUAGAAAAAGAUUAUUAUGCAUUCUGCUAAUUAGUUUACACCUAUAAAGAGAGGAAUUCACACAAACAAGGAAAACAAUCCCUAAAAAACAGUAACUUCCUAAGAAUCAGUGACUGAGAUUAAUUUCUAUUUACAAGGGAACUCCUAGUAAUAAGGUAAGUUUUCUGUCCUUAAUCUUAGGAAUUCCAACAAAAUAAAAUUUUAAUUUCCCAUAUCAAUGUCAGUUUUUAAAUGACUCGAGACUGGACAAAUUUAACACUAGAUCUCAGUUAUGAUUGCUCUUAUCCUAUCAUUUUGCAUACACCUAUAUUUUCUACCUUCUACAAUAAAGAAGUUAAAAAUGCUUAUUCAGAAUCUUAAAACCAUCCUUUUUCUGCA
Molecule: long non-coding RNA, 5181 nt
Filed under: Gossypium barbadense (sea-island cotton)
Lineage: Eukaryota; Viridiplantae; Streptophyta; Magnoliopsida; Malvales; Malvaceae
Description: long non-coding RNA (GBAR_LNC005538)
Source: RNAcentral